Molecule: ribosomal RNA, 433 nt
Filed under: uncultured bacterium
Lineage: Bacteria
Description: partial 16S ribosomal RNA
Rfam family: Bacterial small subunit ribosomal RNA
Source: RNAcentral
AACGAACGCUGGCGGCAUGCCUAACACAUGCAAGUCGAACGAUGCCUUCGGGCCUAGUGGCGCACGGGUGCGUAACGCGUGGGAAUCUGCCUUUCGGUUCGGAAUAACUCAGGGAAACUUGAGCUAAUACCGGAUAACGUCGCAAGACCAAAGAUUUAUCGCCGAAAGAUGAGCCCGCGUAGGAUUAGCUAGUUGGUGAGGUAAAGGCUCACCAAGGCGACGAUCCUUAGCUGGUCUGAGAGGAUGAUCAGCCACACUGGGACUGAGACACGGCCCAGACUCCUACGGGAGGCAGCAGUGGGGAAUAUUGGACAAUGGGCGAAAGCCUGAUCCAGCAAUGCCGCGUGAGUGAUGAAGGCCUUAGGGUUGUAAAGCUCUUUUACCCGGGAAGAUAAUGACGGUACCGGGAGAAUAAGCCCCGGCUAACUCCGUG